CCUACGGAGGGCAGCAGUGAGGAAUAUUGGUCAAUGGGCGGAAGCCUGAACCAGCCAAGCAGCGUGCAUGAUGACGGCCCUACGGGUUGUAAACUGCUUUUGUACGAGGGUAAACGCAGAUACGCAUCUCUGUCUGAAAGUAUCGUACGAAUAAGGAUCGGCGCACUCCGUGCCAGCAGCCGCGGUAAUACGGAGGAUUCAAGCGUUAUCCGGAUUUAUUGGGUUUAAAGGGUGCGUAGGCGGUCGGAUAAGUUAGAGGUGAAAUCCCGGGGCUCAACUUCGGAAUUGCAUCCGAUACUGGUAGGCUAGAGAGUAGUUGAGGUAGGCGGAAUGUAUGGUGUAGCGGUGAAAUGCUUAGAGAUCA
Molecule: ribosomal RNA, 364 nt
Filed under: uncultured bacterium
Lineage: Bacteria
Description: partial 16S ribosomal RNA
Rfam family: Bacterial small subunit ribosomal RNA
Source: RNAcentral